UACGGAAGGCAGCAGUGGGGAAUAUUGCACAAUGGGCGAAAGCCUGAUGCAGCUAUGCCGCGUGUAUGAAGAAGGCCUUAGGGUUGUAAAGUACUUUCAUCGGGGAGGAAAAACAAAACUAAUAAUUUUAUUUCUUGACGUUACCCGAAAAAGAAGCACCGGCUAACUCCGUGCCAGCAGCCGCGGUAAUACGGAGGGUGCUAGCGUUAAUCAGAAUUACUGGGCGUAAAGAGCACGUAGGUGGUUUUUUUAAGUCAGAUGUGAAAUCCCUGGGCUUAACCUAGGAACUGCAUUUUGAAACUGAAAUACUAGAGUAUCGUAGAGGGAGGUAGAAUUCUAGGUGUAGCGGUGAAAUGCGUAGAUAUCUGGAGGAAUACCUGUGGCGAAAGCGGCCUCCUAAACGAAUACUGACACUGAGGUGCGAAAGCGUGGGGAGCGAAACAGGGAUUAGGAU
Molecule: ribosomal RNA, 454 nt
Filed under: uncultured bacterium
Lineage: Bacteria
Description: bacterial SSU rRNA
Rfam family: Bacterial small subunit ribosomal RNA
Source: RNAcentral